This 494-nucleotide ribosomal RNA is filed under the name uncultured bacterium. RNAcentral describes it as "partial 16S ribosomal RNA". It matches the Rfam family "Bacterial small subunit ribosomal RNA", at positions 28 to 507 of the family's 1533-position model. The record is from RNAcentral.
GACGAACGCUGGCGGCGUGCUUAACACAUGCAAGUCGAACGGAAAGGCCUGCUUUCCCUUGUGGAUUGCGGGUACUCGAGUGGCGAACGGGUGAGUAACACGUGAGUGAUCUGCCCCCAACUUGGGUAUAAGCCUGGGAAACUGGGUCUAAUUCCCGAUAGGACUGCAGGGUGGUGCCUGUGGUGGAAAACGAUUUUCUAGUGGUUGGGGAUGAGCUCGCGGCCUAUCAGCUUGUUGGUGGGGUAAUGGCCUACCAAGGCGGCGACGGGUAGCCGGCCUGGGAGGGUGGACGGCCACAUUGGGACUGGGAUACGGCCCAGACUCCUACGGGAGGCAGCAGUGGGGAAUAUUGCACAAUGGGCGGAAGCCUGAUGCAGCGACGCAGCGUGGGGGAUGACGGCCUUCGGGUUGUAAACUCCUUUCGACCGCGAGGAAGCCACCUGGUUGGAAGGGUGGUGACGGUAGUGGUAGAAGAAGCACCGGCUAACUACGUG